AAAGAUUUAAAGCUACAUAUCUUUCAUAUGAUGUCAGCAAAUACAUCAAUGGUUGGCCCCUUUCUGGGGAGAAAUUCUAUUCCAAUUCUCUAAUUCAGCCUUCAUGGGCAGUUACCAGUCUGUCUUUAAUUAAGAUGACUUUUUUCAAUUCACUGUCUACCUGAAAAACCAGUAAGACAAGUCAGUGUUUAAUUCUGCUGCUUCUAUAAGGUAACAAGCUAUUCUCUAACUUUCAUUACUUUGAUGGGAUAUUAAUAUAUAUUAAGUCAAUUCAA
Molecule: long non-coding RNA, 275 nt
Filed under: Zonotrichia albicollis (white-throated sparrow)
Lineage: Eukaryota; Metazoa; Chordata; Aves; Passeriformes; Passerellidae
Description: lncRNA (ENSZALG00000010283.1)
Source: RNAcentral